GGGACUAACUAAUAUAUUUACUAUAAGCAGUGUGAUGUAAUAUGAGUUCUCUUUGGUGUAAUUGGAUUUAUGGAUAGUAUAGUUUUGAGCUUAUAAUGAUGUUUACUUAUUAACGAUAGUGGAAGAUGACAUGCCCGUGGAUGUAGCCCUAUAUUGAGAGAGUGAACCACAUAAAUAUUAGUAUUUUAUGUGUUUACUUUAUUUCUUUGUAUUUUACACACUUCUGCAAUACACAACAUUGUGUCAAUUGAUUUGGAUUUACUGCUAUGGUUAUUUGCCCACAAUUGCUAACAUAAAAAUUGCAGGACGUAUUAAGUUGAUGUCCUAAACUUAGCAAUCUUUUUUGUACUAGUUCUAUGAGCUAAUUAUGUAUUUUUUUUUUUUAAUUUGUUCUUACAGGGAAGAUGCAGGUCUUUUAGGAUU
Molecule: unclassified non-coding RNA, 423 nt
Filed under: Hevea brasiliensis (rubber tree)
Lineage: Eukaryota; Viridiplantae; Streptophyta; Magnoliopsida; Malpighiales; Euphorbiaceae
Source: RNAcentral